AUUCCAGCUCCAAUAGCGUAUAUUAACGUUGUUGCAGUUAAAAAGCUCGUAGUUGGAUUUGUGGUGACAUGUGCGGUCCAAAAUGUUUUGGUACUGUCGCGUGUUGCCAUCCUUGGGUGGAACCUGUGUGGCAUUAGGUUGUCGUGCAGGGGAUGCCCAUCGUUUACUGUGAAAAAAUUAGAGUGUUCAAAGCAGGCUUAUGCCGUUGAAUAUAUUAGCAUGGAAUAAUAAGAUAGGACCUUGGUACUAUUUUGUUGGUUUGCGCACCGAGGUAAUGAUUAAUAGGGACAGUUGGGGGUAUUCGUAUUCCAUUGUCAGAGGUGAAAUUCUUGGAUUUUUGGAAGACGAACUACUGCGAAAGCAUUUACCAAGGAUGUUUUCAUUAAUCAAGAACGAAAGUUAGGGGAUCGAAGAUGAUUAGAUACCAUCGUAGUC
Molecule: ribosomal RNA, 435 nt
Filed under: Sellaphora balashovae
Lineage: Eukaryota; Bacillariophyta; Bacillariophyceae; Sellaphorales; Sellaphoraceae
Description: SSU rRNA
Rfam family: Eukaryotic small subunit ribosomal RNA
Source: RNAcentral